This 603-nucleotide ribosomal RNA is filed under the name Triticum aestivum (bread wheat). RNAcentral describes it as "partial small subunit ribosomal RNA". Lineage: Eukaryota; Viridiplantae; Streptophyta; Magnoliopsida; Poales; Poaceae. The record is from RNAcentral.
AUGAAGAAAUUCCUCGUCCUUGCCCUCAUUGUUGUCGCGGCGACCACCACGGCCGCCGAACCCUUUACUGCAUUCCGUACUGCUUGGGAGCCGCACCAUCCAUCAUCUCCAGAGCAGCAACCAACUCCACAGCCACAAGAACAACCAGUUCCACAUCAAAAGUUGAACCCAUGCAGGGAUGCCCUCCUACAACAGUGUAGCCCAGUUGCUGAUAUGUCGUUCCUCCGGUCACAGGUGGUGCAACAUAGCAGCUGCUUGGUAAUGUGGGAGCAGUGUUGUCAGCAACUAAAAGCGAUCCCCAAGCAGUCAAGAUGUGAGGCCAUCCACAACGUCGUGCACGCCAUCGUUUUGCAACAGCAACAACAAUUGGUACAAGGUAUUUCCACCCAACCUCAGCAGCAACAACAACAAGGUCAACAACAACAAGGUCAGGGUUCUAGCCAGCCACAACAACAAACACAACUGGAUCAGGGUUGGAUUGCGGUGAUAGGGACAUGGGUGAUUCAGACCAUUCCGGCAAUGUGCGACGUGCAUGUUCCACCAUACUGCUACACCACCAUAUCACCAUCCAUUGACGUCACUACCGGCAUGGGCGGCUACUGA